AAGGGUGUAAUCAAUAAUGAUAUUUCAUUUACAAUGAAAUUAUAGCUAAAUUUAGCCAUUCUUA
Molecule: transfer RNA, 64 nt
Filed under: Alectorobius spheniscus
Lineage: Eukaryota; Metazoa; Arthropoda; Arachnida; Ixodida; Argasidae
Description: tRNA-Val
Source: RNAcentral